This is a long non-coding RNA of Megalobrama amblycephala (Wuchang bream), 432 nucleotides long. RefSeq lists it as uncharacterized. The record is from RefSeq and is a predicted model, not a curated record. The transcript has 3 exons. Lineage: Eukaryota; Metazoa; Chordata; Actinopteri; Cypriniformes; Xenocyprididae.
UACUGUUUAUUAAAUCAUAGGCUUUGCAUGUCCUGUCAAAAAUAUCAAUACAAGUAUUGAAUAUAGCAGAGGGAAGCCACAUCUACAGCAGCGGAGUGCACUUCUGCCGAUGAUGAGACCGUGUCGCUGGACUCCAGAAGGCUCGAGGAUCCUGACAUUGGGCAGCCUGAUAAGCAGCCUGGUAACAUAAUAUCUCUACACAACGCAUCUUAAGAGACAGAUCGAGCUGACAGAAGUCAAGAUUGAUGUGAACAAAAGAAAGCUGCAGGACAUGGACCUUGAGAUGCAAAUUAAACGAAAGACACUGAGGAAACUGGAACUGGAAAUCCCGAAACUAGAAAGAGAAGUGACUUCAGUUCAUACUGUAACCAUGACUGUAACACAAUGUAUUAAUCAUCAUAAUUUUUUCUCUCCAAAGCUCCAAGCUGACAA